CCCCUUGAACUUGUGACGCGCGCGCGGCGUUGUGGGAUCGAGUGCGCAUGGCGAAGGUAUCGCGCAAGUCAACACGGGGCUCGUGUGCCUUCUUGGGCGGCAUGGCAAGCUAGUCAUUGUGGAUGUCGUAGAUGAAGAAGCCGGUGUUGAAGACGAUGACGCCGGCGGUCACCCGUAGCUCUCUCCAUGCCCCCCUACCUGGCGCGCCAGAUGUCGGAGAACGGAUCUCCGGCACCGGGUGUAACAUCCCAAUUUUCCCAAACUUUGCAUCAUGCAUUUGCACUCAUGAUCAUCAUAUCAUUUAUGCACUUUGAGCACUUUUAAACCAAAGAUUUAAAUUUUAAAACCUUUUAUCAAGCCUUUUGCCCUUUAAAUUUUUACUUUGCAUCUUUUGGAAUUAUUGCACUAGAGGCAAUUAUAUAAGCAAAACUAUUUUUAAUAAUUUGCUUUUGGAGGAAAUCUAGUCACAGAUGCUAUGGCAUUAAAGGAUACUAUUUUACAAAUUUUCUGGAAUUUAUUUGAGGUCAUUUGGUGUUCAAAAGUCAAAAGAAAUAAAGGAAAAAUAGAAAAAGAAAAAGGAGAAAAGAAAAAGAACAAAAAAAAGGAAAAAGCGGACCGGCCCAACCCCCCGCCCGUGGACGCGCCCGAGCGGCCCAACAGCCCAGCUAGCGCCACCCUUGGUCCAACGGACACUAACAGGUGGGACCCACCUGUCAGAUCGUCUUGAGGCUCCGGCCGGGAAUCCAGGGAGCGCCUCCAUCAAGCCUUGUCUUCAAUUCGCGAUUUAGAGCACGUGUUUAAGCCUCCCUCUCGCUUCACUAUAAACAACCCCUCCCCCUCUCACUUUUCCCCCGCACCCCCCUCACUCCACUCGCGACCAUGCCGGAGAAUUUCUCGUCGGAAUUGCUUCGGCCACCGGCCGUUCUUCGCUCGCCGUCGUCACCACGGUGAGGUAUAGAGCCCGAAGCCUUCAAUUUCUCCUUCCUCUUGUCCUUGCGCACUUUUUGACGCGACCUGUUUGUUGUUCGGUGCACCGUAGCCC
RNAcentral lists this long non-coding RNA (1042 nucleotides) under Brachypodium distachyon (stiff brome). RNAcentral's name for it is "long non-coding RNA (BDIS_LNC004856)". Lineage: Eukaryota; Viridiplantae; Streptophyta; Magnoliopsida; Poales; Poaceae. The record is from RNAcentral.